CACCCACCAACACAAAGUUUGUGUAUUUUCUAGCAUCCUUUCCUAACAGUUACGCUCCGUUCAUUAGAGGGAGCAAAAAUGUUCCUGUGGCUAAACUUAGUGUCCUUUCUAGCAGUCCUCAGAGGAGUCCAAUCUCAGGUCCAGUUGGUGGAGUCUGGAGGGGAUGUGAGAAGACCUGGAGGGUCCCUCCGUCUCUCCUGCCAAGCCUCAGGAUUCACCUUCAGCAGCUACCACAUGAACUGGGUGAGACAGGCUCCAGGAAAAGGCCUGGAAUGGGUGGCAUUCAUAAGCACCAAUUCUGGUACUAUUCGCUACUCAGACAAAGUGAAGGGCCGCUUCACUAUCUCCAGGGACAAUGCCAAAAGCCAGCUGUAUCUGCAGAUGAACAGCCUCAAAGCUGAAGACACGGCAGUCUAUUACUGUACGAGAGACACAGUGAGAGGAAGUGAAUCUGAAGCCAGGCAAAAACCUACCAUUCCUCAGAGGACUCUGCAAGUCCUUUCACACUCAGAAGGCUGCAUUUUUCAAUGA
Molecule: non-coding RNA, 531 nt
Organism: Crotalus tigris (Tiger rattlesnake)
Lineage: Eukaryota; Metazoa; Chordata; Lepidosauria; Squamata; Viperidae
Source: the annotation of a RefSeq genome assembly